GCCUCGGUAGCUCAGUUGGCUAGAGCGAUCGCCUUGUAAGCGAUAGGUCGGGGGUUCGAAUCCCCCCCGGGGCU
The sequence is a transfer RNA, 74 nucleotides long. It matches the Rfam family "tRNA". From Rfam's summary of the family: Transfer RNA (tRNA) molecules are approximately 80 nucleotides in length. Their secondary structure includes four short double-helical elements and three loops (D, anti-codon, and T loops). Further hydrogen bonds mediate the characteristic L-shaped molecular structure. tRNAs have two regions of fundamental functional importance: the anti-codon, which is responsible for specific mRNA codon recognition, and the 3' end, to which the tRNAs corresponding amino acid is attached (by aminoacyl-tRNA synthetases). tRNAs cope with the degeneracy of the genetic code in two manners: having more than one tRNA (with a specific anti-codon) for a particular amino acid; and 'wobble' base-pairing, i.e. permitting non-standard base-pairing at the 3rd anti-codon position. The record is from Rfam.